This 136-nucleotide small nucleolar RNA is filed under the name Drosophila ananassae. RNAcentral describes it as "snoRNA:GF26036". The record is from RNAcentral. Lineage: Eukaryota; Metazoa; Arthropoda; Insecta; Diptera; Drosophilidae.
CAUGCAAGAAACGGAUUGUCUGUCACGAUUCUCCAGCGACUGGACAUCUCAACGCUUGCAGAGAUCAUCUGCGGUGGCUGGUACUUGGUUUGGUCUACUUAUUGGGGCUGGACUUUUGUGUCAGUUAUCCUCAUGG